UUACCUGGAACACAAUAUAUUAUAGGGACAUGAGAGGUAGGAGAGGGGCGGAGGGUAGGAGAGGGGCGAACCAUAUAUAAGCAGUUGCCAUGAGAUCAAACUUUCAGUCGUAAGCGCGUUGGUGUGAUAGAUUAAUCUGUUAGCGUACCUCCUAAACAAGCUCCGAAGCUGAGUGCCCAGGCCAGGGGUGGCAGCGGUAGGGCGAGUGCGCCGUCUGCCAGGGCUGCCACAACGCGCACCAUCAUCGUCGUCAACGGGAUGUUAUCUACGAAGGCCGAGGCCAGACCUGACACCUGGUUGUGAUGAAGAAGCGUGUAAUAUUACUGAUCUUGUGAAGAAGAAUUUUAUUGAUUUAAUAAGGAAGAACAGUAAAAUAUAGUAAAAUAUUUCCAUAUAAAA
This is a long non-coding RNA of Danaus plexippus (monarch butterfly), 399 nucleotides long. RefSeq lists it as uncharacterized. The record is from RefSeq and is a predicted model, not a curated record. Lineage: Eukaryota; Metazoa; Arthropoda; Insecta; Lepidoptera; Nymphalidae. The transcript has 2 exons.